RNAcentral lists this long non-coding RNA (1043 nucleotides) under Canis lupus dingo (dingo). RNAcentral describes it as "lncRNA (ENSCAFG00020009140.1)". Lineage: Eukaryota; Metazoa; Chordata; Mammalia; Carnivora; Canidae. The record is from RNAcentral.
AGCCCGGGCAGCGUGGGCCGAGCCGCGAGGCGCCUGUGUGCGGCGCGGGGUCUGGCGCCCGGUCCUCUCGCCGCCUGUGGCUCCACGUCACGGCUGAGUCACCGCGGGGACGGGGCAGGAAUUACCCGCUGCGGUGCAAGAAAUCCCCUGGAUGGUGGCAGGCGCUUUGGGAGGCCCGUCGUGCUUUCAAGUGAGAGAAAAGGAAAACAAGAGCGAGAGAAAAAGAACUGAGCCUCGGAUUUUCAGGAACUGCAGUCCGAGUUCCCGGCCGAGCACCUUGGCUGCCGGGGGCCCCCCUCCUCCCUGGGGACACAGCUGUGAGCGAUCUGAGCCCGGGGACCCCAGGAGAACUGUGGGGGAGCUCCCCGCGCGGAAAUCCCCAGGGCUCGCAGGCAGGGCCCAGAGCGCGUCUCAGGUGAAAGCCGCUUCGCCCACGGGCUCCGCCGGCUGUAAGAAUCCCCGGCCCUCCCGGCCCUCCCCGGCCCUCCCAGUGACGACACCGGCCUCCCCUCCUCUGGGAGCAGGACGUGCCCAGCGCCCUCCCCACUUCCCCUCAGGAAGUCACAGGGGGCCGCAUACUUGGGGCACGUCCCUGCAUGUCCAGCUCCAAGAACAAAGCUCUAGGGAAUAUAGGAAAUUAGAUGACUUAAAGCCAAUGGAGCAGAGUUGGCGGCGCCCGCUCGUCGUUGUUUCCCUGGCUUGGCACAGGCACGGGCGUCGGCCCGGUUCAGGCGACCAGCCCGCAGGACACGAUCCCUGAACACCUGUACCUAAGGGAAGUGUCCCUGCCGUCGCCUGUGUGUCGCCUUUCUUAGGGCUGAAGAGCCAGAUGCGUCCUAACAAAACUAGGAGAGAAGUCGGGUUGCUCGUGGAAGGGCGUUUCUACGUCUGCUAAUCUUCACCGUCUCCACAAUUUCUCAGAUUUUAAGGUAAGGAACCGAGUGGCUCUAGAAUCGUCGGCCUCAGAGAUGUCCCUGGGCUUUCCCCAUCAUCUUGGGACUGGCCGCUUUGCGACCACAACGGGGAUUCCAGUUAAUGGUAAA